Molecule: ribosomal RNA, 239 nt
Filed under: uncultured bacterium
Lineage: Bacteria
Description: partial 16S ribosomal RNA
Rfam family: Bacterial small subunit ribosomal RNA
Source: RNAcentral
CCCUACGGGACGCAGCAGUGGGGGAUAUUGCACAAUGGGGGAAACCCUGAUGCAGCGACGCCGCGUGUGGGAAGACGGUCCUCUGGAUUGUAAACCACUGUCCCCAGGGACGAAGAUGACGGUACCUGGGGAGGAAGCUCCGGCUAACUACGUGCCAGCAGCCGCGGUAAUACGUAGGGAGCGAGCGUUGUCCGGAAUUACUGGGCGUAAAGCGCUCGUAGGCGGUAUGUCAAGUCAAG